ACAUUACAACUUGGAUAAUAACAUUGUGGUUUUCUAGGCCAAUAUGUGGCCAGCAUUUCUAUACGAGUCUGACACAGGUAUCCCCUGUGUAGAAAGGAACUCUUUUUGGUCCAGACCCCAGCUGUAUGGCCUUGUGCACUGAGUUUGGAAGAGUUUCCACUCAGGACAGAUUUUCUCAUCUGGAGGAAAGGAGUAACACCUACUCGGGGCCCCACAUCCUAAACCCCUGUAGUUUGUGAAGCUCGGUUGAAUCUGCAAAGCUUUCGCAUGGGGUUGUAAUCGCUCACACAGCACCGGAUGUUUUGAGACUUGAACACGUGGCACAGCGGAAGGGAAAGGCCUUUGCUUCUGCAUUUGGGACAAGGUUGGGUCACCUCUGACUCUUCUCCAGGCUCAGCCAGUUUCAAACAGGGGGUGUGCCACAGGCCUUGGAGCAGGCCCAGACGGCCUAAGGCAGAGGCUUUUCUGCUCCCCCUCCCCUUCCCCGGGGGUGGGAGGAGCCUCCUCUGAUUGGCUGCCAGCCCGAGGCAGCCGCUGGCUCUUUCCUGCUGCAUCCAGAGGAUGGGAAUCACACGCGGAGCACUCGGCCUGCCCUGAGUUGGGAGGGUCCAUACUCCCCCUCCUGGCUCUGACAAAGAGGCCGGGAGAACCUCUGGUCUGUUUCACUUCUCCGUUUCAGGGACCUCAGAGGCACGUAGCUGCCAGCCAGCCAUCAGGGAAGCACCAGAUAUCCUUUUCCAACUGGGAGCAUCACCUUGUAACAACAAUAAUAAUGGACAGAAUUGUCCCAGUGAUAUUAUUUCUAAUGGCUUUGAAUGGUUUAGAAUUGCCUUGGUUUCUAGAUCUUGAUGAGGAACAUCUGGAUUAACCUGAUAAAAUGACCAUGCAUGUCCUGGAAGGAACUCUGGAAAGAUUCCUGCACAAGAACACUUCAGACCAGCCCUGAACAGUCUUUGCAGAUAAUACCAAGACUGUCUUCUUCCAUGUUAUCAAAGUUGUGUCCUGGUCUACAAUCCAAGUUGCUGAUGAACAUAUUUGUUGCAUGGCAGAUGUUUUUCCCUUGUUGACUAAUCCUCUCCCCACUUUCUUAGAAUACUUAUAAAACCUGUAAUGCUCCACCCCUUCUGUUCCAACCUCCACACAUGUUUCUUUUCUCUCCCUAAAAGGAAAUAAAAUUUCUUAGCACACUGUGGCUCUGAUUUUU
RNAcentral lists this long non-coding RNA (1204 nucleotides) under Monodelphis domestica (gray short-tailed opossum). RNAcentral describes it as "lncRNA (ENSMODG00000051524.1)". The record is from RNAcentral. Lineage: Eukaryota; Metazoa; Chordata; Mammalia; Didelphimorphia; Didelphidae.